This 770-nucleotide ribosomal RNA is filed under the name uncultured Chloroflexota bacterium. RNAcentral describes it as "bacterial SSU rRNA". It matches the Rfam family "Bacterial small subunit ribosomal RNA", at positions 9 to 795 of the family's 1533-position model. The record is from RNAcentral. Lineage: Bacteria; Bacillati; Chloroflexota.
GAGUUUGAUCCUGGCUCAGGACGAACGCUGGCGGUGCGCCUAAUGCAUGCAAGUCGAACGGGCAAAGGGGCUUCGGCCCCCGAGCUAGUGGCAGACGGCUGAGUAACACGUAAGUGAUCUGCCCCAGAGAGGGGGAUAAGCCGGAGAAAUCCGGUCUAAUACCCCGUACGCUCUCUAAGUUACGGCGUAGAGAGGAAAGGCUCCGGCGCUCUGGGAGGAACUUGCGGCCUAUCAAGGUUGUUGGUGGGGUAAAAGCCUACCAAGCCGAAGACGGGUAACCGGUGUGAGAGCACGAUCGGUCAGAGGGGGACUGAGACACGGCCCCCACUCCUACGGGAGGCAGCAGCAGGGAAUCUUGCGCAAUGGGCGAAAGCCUGACGCAGCGACACCGCGUGGGGGAUGAAGGCUUUCGAGUUGUAAACCCCUUUUCUCGGGGAUGAGAAAGGACAGUACCCGGGGAAUAAGGUUCGGCUAACUACGUGCCAGCAGCCGCGGUAACACGUAGGAACCGAGCGUUGUCCGGAUUUACUGGGCGUAAAGUGCGCGUAGGCGGUCCGUUAAGUCUCAUGUGAAAUCUCCCGGCUCAACUGGGAGAGGUCAUGGGAUACUGGCAGACUGGAGUACAGCAGAGGGGAGCGGAAUUCCCGGAGUAGUGGUGGAAUGCGUAGAUACCGGGAGGAACACCAGAGGCGAAGGCGGCUCCCUGGGCUGUAACUGACGCUGAGGCGCGAAAGCGUGGGUAGCAAACCGGAUUAGAUACCCUGGUAGUC